GAUGAACGCUGGCGGCGUGCCUAAUACAUGCAAGUCGAGCGAACGGACGAGAAGCUUGCUUCUCUGAUGUUAGCGGCGGACGGGUGAGUAACACGUGGAUAACCUACCUAUAAGACUGGGAUAACUUCGGGAAACCGGAGCUAAUACCGGAUAAUAUUUUGAACCGCAUGGUUCAAAAGUGAAAGACGGUCUUGCUGUCACUUAUAGAUGGAUCCGCGCUGCAUUAGCUAGUUGGUAAGGUAACGGCUUACCAAGGCAACGAUGCAUAGCCGACCUGAGAGGGUGAUCGGCCACACUGGAACUGAGACACGGUCCAGACUCCUCGGGAGGCAGCAGUAGGGAAUCUUCCGCAAUGGGCGAAAGCCUGACGGAGCAACGCCGCGUGAGUGAUGAAGGUCUUCGGAUCGUAAAACUCUGUUAUUAGGGAAGAACAUAUGUGUAAGUAACUGUGCACAUCUUGACGGUACCUAAUCAGAAAGCCACGGCUAACUACGUG
This 496-nucleotide ribosomal RNA is filed under the name uncultured bacterium. Its description in RNAcentral is "partial 16S ribosomal RNA". It matches the Rfam family "Bacterial small subunit ribosomal RNA", at positions 28 to 507 of the family's 1533-position model. The record is from RNAcentral.